CCCUCCCGCACUCGCGCCUCCCCCGCGCCGCCUCCUGCUCUCCCCUCCCGCGCGCCUCCUCUCCUCUCCCCUCCCACGCGCCUCUUUCCUCCCACCCACAUCGCCGCCGCCGCCACCCACCGCCUCGAACCGCGCCGUCGGCGGCCAGAUCCACUGCAACAGAGCCCCCCCACCCUUCCCAACGACGAUGAGCAGCAGCGGAGGGAGGACGGGGAGCACGACAGCGGCGGCGGAGGGGAGCAGAAGCAGCAGGCCAAGGCAGCGCAACACAAGCGCACUCCCGCUCCGUCCUCCCCUAACCCUAUCUCCUCCUCUCCUCUGAGCCGCCGCUGCCCGUCCUCCUCCUCUCCUCUACACCGCCGCCGCCGUCGACGGGAGGAAGCCAGGCGGAGCGCACCGUCGCCACCGGCUGCGGCCUCGGCGACGCCGACAUGCUCCAGUGGCUCAACGCCACGGAGACAUCGUAGCAGAGGCAGAAGCAGGUGCUCGAUGCGGCGCUCCCCCGUUGCUCCUCUUCUGCAUCUGCUACAGGCGCUCGAUGCGGUGCUCCCCUGUUGCUCCUCCUUCUCCUUCAUCACCAAGAGGGGCGCUGCCUUCUACUGCUGCUCCAGCUUGGGAGGGACAAAAGAGGAGGUCGCUGGUAGAUGACGGGGGAGCAAGCAAGGACUGAUGGGUGCAUCACUACACUGCUACCCGUUUCUCAACUUUUGCUUUACACCGCACUAUUUCGACAGAAUAUUAUAGGAAGGGUGGACUAUGAAGGGAAACACUGGUGUUCUAAGAUAGAUGUUCUGUGUUUGAGAUCUUGCCUUGGUAGCUGGAUGCCUUGGUGCAAGACAUUCAAGGUUGUUUGAUGCGUUUGUGCUCGUCGGCGGGACGGUGCAAGGCGCAACUCCGACGCGGUUCCUCGCCGGUUGGACGGCGUUCAGGCGCAACCCCGGCGCGCACUGAGUACUGCCUCGGCUACAGCCUCCCUCGGUGAGGUCCAUCUUCCUCCCGCUCCUCUGCUUCGGCUACUGUAUGGGACAUUGCCAUGGCUAUAUUGAUGUGGUGCUUGUCUGGUUGAUGCUCUAUGCCCUACUCAUGCAUCGGUUCCUACUUGAGCUCUGUACUUGUGGAUCCAUGCCAUUUUAGGGUUUGCAGGCUGUUGUUCAUGUUUAGUUGCUAUCAUAGGAGCUAAUGUGAUGCUCUGGUUUACAUGUGGAUGCCCUGGUCCUAUAGCUAUGCUCCUGGAUUUGCUAGAUUGAUCAGUGGCAUUCGUGCUAGGGCGAUGAUGAUUAAUCGUGGCUGAAAUAAGUGUGCCUUUGAGCAAUCGUGGCACCUGUGCGUAUCAGGUUGGAUCCUCCCUCUUGUCUCUAGAAUCCUUUUUGAUCCUGUGAUACUUGUUGUUGUCCUUGGAUGGUCAUUCUUGUUGAGUGAUAAUCAGGGCAGCUCCACUGUAUGAACAGAUUGAUCUGGUGAUAAGAGAUGACGGGGGUAGGUUAUAUGAUCGAGGAAAGGUGAAUCUGAGCCCGCUAUGAUGGACAGGCCGCUCUCGCACCACCAGACUCCCUUCAGGGUAGUUACCCACGGGAACGUACUUUUGCCGUUUAUUUUUACUUGUGAUUCCGCUCGUUGUGAACGUGGCUCGAUCCAUGUUGUGGCCCAAUUAUUAUUUUUGUUUUGUUUCAAUGGAUCGUCUUGGCUUGCUUUUGGCCUGAAGUUGUUGCCUUGCUUUUGGCAUACCUGAUUCCACUACCUUUUGUUGUUGCUUGGACCAGUUUCUAUGUAAUAAACAUAUUUAUAUCAAUGUUGUGCUUCUGUUAUAA
Molecule: non-coding RNA, 1808 nt
Organism: Triticum urartu
Lineage: Eukaryota; Viridiplantae; Streptophyta; Magnoliopsida; Poales; Poaceae
Source: RefSeq, a predicted model, not a curated record